GUGGGGAAUAUUGGACAAUGGGCGCAAGCCUGAUCCAGCCAUGCCGCGUGAGUGAUGAAGGCCUUAGGGUUGUAAAGCUCUUUCACCGAUGAAGAUAAUGACGGUAGUCGGAGAAGAAGCCCCGGCUAACUUCGUGCCAGCAGCCGCGGUAAUACGAAGGGGGCUAGCGUUGUUCGGAUUUACUGGGCGUAAAGCGCACGUAGGCGGUUUGUUAAGUUAGGGGUGAAAUCCCGGCGCUCAACUCCGGAACUGCCUUUGAUACUGGCAAGCUAGAGUCCGGAAGAGGGAAGUGGAACUCCUAGUGUAGAGGUGGAAUUCGUAGAUAUUAGGAAGAACACCAGUGGCGAAGGCGGCUCACUGGUCUGGUACUGACGCUGAGGUGCGAAAGCGUGGGGAGCAAACAGGAUUAGAUACCCGUGUAGUCC
This 425-nucleotide ribosomal RNA is filed under the name uncultured bacterium. Its description in RNAcentral is "partial 16S ribosomal RNA". It matches the Rfam family "Bacterial small subunit ribosomal RNA", at positions 354 to 796 of the family's 1533-position model. The record is from RNAcentral.